RNAcentral lists this ribosomal RNA (460 nucleotides) under uncultured Campylobacterota bacterium. RNAcentral describes it as "bacterial LSU rRNA". It matches the Rfam family "Bacterial large subunit ribosomal RNA", at positions 1369 to 1807 of the family's 2925-position model. The record is from RNAcentral. Lineage: Bacteria; Pseudomonadati; Campylobacterota.
UCAUCGUAGGGUUAGUCGGGACCUAAGCUGAGUCCGAAAGGGGUAAGCGAUGGAAAAUCGGUUAAUAUUCCGAUACCAACUAUAGAGCGUGAUGGGAGGACGCAUAGGGCUAUGUGAGGUCACUGAUGGAAUAGUGGCUCGAAGGGUGUAGGCUGGGAGAGAAAGGAAAAUCCACUCUCCUAUAGCUGAGACCUGACAGGCUGUGGAGGCUUUUAGGAGCCAAAACAGAAUCACAGAUGCCGAAGUGCCAAGAAAAGUCUCUAAGCAUAUCUAUAGUUGCCCGUACCGUAAACCGACACAGGUGGGUGAGAUGAGAAUUUUAAGGCGCGUGGAAGAACCAUUGUUAAGGAACUCUGCAGACUAGCCCCGUAUUUUCGGUAUAAGGUGUGCCUACUUGGGUGAAGCUCCUAGCGAGUGGAGCCUGAGAGGUUGCAACAAAGAGUCCCUCCCGACUGUUUAC